This 274-nucleotide ribosomal RNA is filed under the name uncultured bacterium. Its description in RNAcentral is "partial 16S ribosomal RNA". It matches the Rfam family "Bacterial small subunit ribosomal RNA", at positions 523 to 796 of the family's 1533-position model. The record is from RNAcentral.
AUACGGAGGGAGCGAGCGUUAAUCGGAAUUACUGGGCGUAAAGCGCGCGUAGGCGGCAUUGUAAGUCGGAUGUGAAAGCCCUGGGCUUAACCUGGGAAUGGCAUUCGAUACUGCAGAGCUAGAGUAUGGUAGAGGGAAGUGGAAUUUCCGGUGUAGCGGUGAAAUGCAUAGAUAUCGGAAGGAACACCAGUGGCGAAGGCGACUUCCUGGGCCAAUACUGACGCUGAGGUGCGAAAGCGUGGGGAGCAAACAGGAUUAGAUACCCCGGUAGUCC